RNAcentral lists this ribosomal RNA (243 nucleotides) under uncultured Pseudomonas sp. RNAcentral describes it as "partial 16S ribosomal RNA". It matches the Rfam family "Bacterial small subunit ribosomal RNA", at positions 109 to 355 of the family's 1533-position model. The record is from RNAcentral. Lineage: Bacteria; Pseudomonadati; Pseudomonadota; Gammaproteobacteria; Pseudomonadales; Pseudomonadaceae.
AGUAAUGCCUAGGAAUCUGCCUGGUAGUGGGGGACGAACGUUUCGAAAGGAACGCUAAUACCGCAUACGUCCUACGGGAGAAAGCAGGGACCUUCGGGCCUUGCGCUAUCAGAUGAGCCUAGGUCGGAUUAGCUAGUUGGUGAGGUAAUGGCUCACCAAGGCGACGAUCCGUAACUGGUCUGAGAGGAUGAUCAGUCACACUGGAACUGAGACACGGUCCAGACUCCUACGGGAGGCAGCAGC